This 260-nucleotide unclassified non-coding RNA is filed under the name Hevea brasiliensis (rubber tree). Lineage: Eukaryota; Viridiplantae; Streptophyta; Magnoliopsida; Malpighiales; Euphorbiaceae. The record is from RNAcentral.
GCUUGCUUGUCUCUGCAGUACCCCCUACAAAUGAUGCAAUCCAUUAAAAAAUACUAGCACAAAUACAGAUAAAAACUGAAAACUGCAAGGAAAAAUCACUGAGCACUAUUAUCAAACAAACCAUUUCCAGACAAUGUUUUGGUCUUCUGUUGCUUAAAUUUGAUGUAUAUCACAUAUGAAGAACUAUUCAAGGCUGUAAAUUACACAAUAAGGAAGAUGGACUUACAGUUAGCAACCCUUCGCUUUUUAUACUUCCAACA